AAAACAUCUUCUCUUGAAUUAAUAUGAGAUAGGACCUGCCCAAUGAUUUAUUUAAUGGCCGCGGUAAUUUGACCGUGCAAAGGUAGCAUAAUCAUUAGUUUAAUAAUUGUAAACUUGUAUGAAUGGUAUGACGAAACAUUAACUGUCUCUAUUGUAUUAUUGGAAUUUAAAUUUUUAGUUAGAAUGCUUAAAUUUAUUUAUUGGACGAGAAGACCCUAUAGAUCUUUAUUAUUAUUUAUAUAAAUUGAUUUAGAUUAAUUAUUAUUUAUUUAUUUAAUAAUUUUGUUGGGGUGACAUGGAGAUAUAAAUAACUCAUUAUUAUUAUUAUCAUUUAUUUAUGAAUAUAUGACCUUAUUUUAUUGUUAGAAGAUGUAGAUACCUUAGGGAUAACAGCGUAAUUUCUUUUGAGAGUUCAUAUUGACAGGGAAGAUUGCGACCUCGAUGUUGGAUUAAGAUUAUUAUUUGGUGUAGGUGCUAAAAUUUUAGGUCUGUUCGACCUUUAAAAUCUUACA
This 512-nucleotide ribosomal RNA is filed under the name Thaumatobactron guentheri. RNAcentral's name for it is "partial 16S ribosomal RNA". It matches the Rfam family "Bacterial large subunit ribosomal RNA", at positions 1810 to 2600 of the family's 2925-position model. The record is from RNAcentral. Lineage: Eukaryota; Metazoa; Arthropoda; Insecta; Phasmatodea; Phasmatidae.